Molecule: ribosomal RNA, 496 nt
Filed under: uncultured bacterium
Lineage: Bacteria
Description: partial 16S ribosomal RNA
Rfam family: Bacterial small subunit ribosomal RNA
Source: RNAcentral
AUUGAACGCUGGCGGAAUGCUUUACACAUGCAAGUCGAACGGUAGAGGGGGCAACCCCUCGAGAGUGGCGAACGGGUGAGUAAUAUAUCGGAACGUGCCCAGUCGUGGGGGAUAACGUAGCGAAAGUUACGCUAAUACCUCAUACGAUCUAAGGAUGAAAGCGGGGGGUCGCAAGACCUCGCGCGAUUGGAGCGGCCGAUAUCAGAUUAGGUAGUUGGUGGGGUAAAGGCUCACCAAGCCAACGAUCUGUAGCUGGUCUGAGGGGACGACCAGCCACACUGGAACUGAGACACGGUCCAGACUCCUACGGGAGGCAGCAGUGGGGAAUUUUGGACAAUGGACGCAAGUCUGAUCCAGCCAUUCCGCGUGCAGGAUGAAGGCCCUCGGGUUGUAAACUGCUUUUGUACGGAACGAAAAGGUCUCUCUUAAUACGGGGGGCUCAUGACGGUACUGUAAGAAUAAGCACCGGCUAACUACGUGCCAGCAGCCGCGGUAA